RNAcentral lists this ribosomal RNA (481 nucleotides) under uncultured bacterium. RNAcentral describes it as "partial 16S ribosomal RNA". It matches the Rfam family "Bacterial small subunit ribosomal RNA", at positions 28 to 523 of the family's 1533-position model. The record is from RNAcentral.
GACGAACGCUGGCGGCGUGCUUAACACAUGCAAGUCGAACGAUGAAGGAGAGCUUGCUCUCCGGAUUAGUGGCGAACGGGUGAGUAACACGUGACUAACCUGCCCCUUUCUCUGGGAUAACGCUCCGAAAGGAGUGCUAAUACCGGAUACGAACUCUGAACACAUGCUCGGAGUUGGAAAGUUUUUCGGAAAGGGAUGGAGUCGCGGCCUAUCAGCUUGUUGGUGAGGUAACGGCUCACCAAGGCGACGACGGGUAGCCGGCCUGAGAGGGCGACCGGCCACACUGGGACUGAGACACGGCCCAGACUCCUACGGGAGGCAGCAGUGGGGAAUAUUGCACAAUGGGCGAAAGCCUGAUGCAGCGACGCCGCGUGAGGGAUGAAGGUCUUCGGAUUGUAAACCUCUUUCAGUAGGGACGAAGCGAAAGUGACGGUACCUAAAGAAGAAGCACCGGCUAACUACGUGCCAGCCGCCGCGGUAA